UGUUUAGCUCGACAAUUUGGUAGAUCACAUUUUGUGUCCCUAUAUUUAUGGUAUAAUGUGUUGAACUGAACUCAACCUGAUUGUGUCCUCUCUACAACUUGGUUGAGAUAUGCUGUGCAUAAAAAAUCCACUAGAGGCCACUGUAUUUUUCGUUGGUAUGAGUUUUCACUCAUCCUUCUGCUAGCAAGGUUUCAACAGAAAAAUCACUCCUGACAUGUGGGCAACUUUUGGCUACAAUAUGACAGAACAUGGAAUUUUCUGGCCUUUGUACCAGAAGAUCCUCAAGACUCUGAGGCUGAUCUGAGUGAUGAUGACACAGUAGGGGAUCCUGAUUUUCUGCCCAAAUAAGUAGAGUUGAUCGGGGAUCUUUGCACUCAAUCUUCAGAUGAAGAGUUGCCCUCUAAAAGCACAUCUGCAAAGAGGAAAAAUACCCUAGAAACAUUCAAAGAAGAGGUGGAUGAGGCUCCCUUUUCAACCCCGGUGUCAAAGAAGAAGAAAACGUCAGAAAAGAAACAAAAAGAAGCCAGGAGGAUCUAGAAGCAUGUAGAUAUUGAGGAAUUCCAGGUCCCUGAUUCAUGUUUUGCAUCCCCAGAUCCUGUCAAGACACUCUUCCAGUACUUCAAAAUGCUCUUCACUGAUGGGAUGAUUCAACAUAUUGCUUUUCAAACCAACCUGUACUCUGCCCAGAAGUUGGGGGAUCCCAUCAAACACAAACCUAGUGAGAUUGAAGAUUUCCUGGGUAUGCUAUUUUUCAUGGGUAUUCUUCAAUUUCCGACCAUAGCAGACUACCGGUGCCCUGCAUCACGUUUUGACGUGAUUGCUGACAUCAUGCCAAAGAGGAGAUUCAUGCUGUUACGUGGCAUUGAUCCUUCCGACAUGCUAGUUCACCUAUACAAGACCCCAGCCAAGUCAACCCGUUGGUACUUCCCCCUGUUUGGAUACGCCCUAGAUCUCUGCAUCUUCAAUUCCUGGCUGGUCUACAAGAGAGACUGUGGCCUUCCGAAGGAAAAACCAAUUCCUCUGAAAAUGUUUCGCUUGGCUGUGUCCCACACUUUGAAACAAGUCAACAAGCCAGCAUCCAGAGUAGGCCGACCACCGUCUGCCAGUCCACCAAAUAUGUCCUGUGAGAAGAAGCGCUUGCCCCCAACAACCCCACAACCAGAUGUGCGCUACGACAACUAUGGACAUUGGCCACUUCACACUGACAAUCGGGGGCGGUGCAGCCUCUGCCCAAAAGGUGUGUCAAGAUGGAAAUGCGGGAAGUGCAAUGUUUUCUGUACUUGUUGGGUGAGAGAGAAUGUUUUGUAGCAUAUCAUCAAAAAUAAAGUGGCCAAUGUUUCCAUGGGUCAUUAUUGUGUUAAGGCAUUUUGUUUGAGAGAUGUUUAGUUUUUGAUUUUUUUCAAAGCAAGAACAUUAUUAAGUUCUUUGGGUACACUCGUGGGUCUUUCAAUGUUGAUUUGACUGUGGGAAAUGGCUAAGAAAUGCCUAAGACUCCAUGUUGUGUUUAUGCCAAAAUGGACCAAAGGUCUUUUGUUGAAAUAAAAUUUGACAUGAGUUGUUUCCUGGUAUUUCUACAUUUUAUAGUUCCUUUUUUCAUAUUUCUAGGUGUUAAAUGAUCCAUUUAUUUGUCAAUACUCAUUCACAAUUAUGUAUUAGGUAAUUUUACCAUCGAGCAACAUCUCAACCAUUUGGUAGAGACCUAUAUUUAAAAAACUGGGGAGUCCAUAUACAUUUUUCCAAUUUAUUUCUGUUACUUGUGCCACAACAACUUAAAAAAUACCCAAAAAUCAUUUUUUCAUUGUUUUUUUCUUGGAGUGAACAUCAAAGGGUUAAUGUUUGUGUCUUAUCAAAAUGUGAUGUCAAGUGAUUUGAAUUACAUUGUGUCGUGAUGGAUGACAACAGGAUACGGAUAAAUGCAAAAUUGUCACGGAAGAAUAUUUCUGAAACAAUAAAUAGUUUGCAUACUGA
This is an RNA transcript of Corythoichthys intestinalis (scribbled pipefish), 1968 nucleotides long. RefSeq lists it as uncharacterized. The record is from RefSeq and is a predicted model, not a curated record. The transcript is spliced from 2 exons. NCBI's taxonomy places the organism in Eukaryota, Metazoa, Chordata, Actinopteri, Syngnathiformes, Syngnathidae.